Molecule: ribosomal RNA, 253 nt
Filed under: uncultured bacterium
Lineage: Bacteria
Description: partial 16S ribosomal RNA
Rfam family: Bacterial small subunit ribosomal RNA
Source: RNAcentral
UACAGAGGUCUCAAGCGUUGUUCGGAUUCAUUGGGCGUAAAGGGUGCGUAGGUGGUUGGGUAAGUUUGAUGUGAAAUCUCCGGGCUUAACCCGGAAACUGCAUUGAAUACUAUCUGGCUAGAGGGUUGGAGGGGGGACUGGAAUACUUGGUGUAGCAGUGAAAUGCGUAGAUAUCAAGUGGAACACCAGUGGCGAAGGCGAGUCCCUGGACAACUCCUGACACUGAGGCACGAAAGCUAGGGGAGCAAACAGG